AGAGUUUGAUCCUGGCUCAGAUUGAACGCUGGCGGAAUGCUUUACACAUGCAAGUCGAACGGUAGAGGGGGCAACCCCUUGAGAGUGGCGAACGGGUGAGUAAUAUAUCGGAACGUGCCCAGUCGUGGGGGAUAACGUAGCGAAAGUUACGCUAAUACCGCAUACGAUCUAAGGAUGAAAGCGGGGGACCGUAAGGCCUCGCGCGAUUGGAGCGGCCGAUAUCAGAUUAGGUAGUUGGUGGGGUAAAGGCUCACCAAGCCAACGAUCUGUAGCUGGUCUGAGAGGACGACCAGCCACACUGGAACUGAGACACGGUCCAGACUCCUACGGGAGGCAGCAGUGGGGAAUUUUGGACAAUGGACGCAAGUCUGAUCCAGCCAUUCCGCGUGCAGGAUGAAGGCCCUCGGGUUGUAAACUGCUUUUGUACGGAACGAAAAGGUCUCUCUUAAUACGGGGGGCUCAUGACGGUACCGUAAGAAUAAGCACCGGCUAACUACGUGCCAGCAGCCGCGGUAAUACGUAGGGUGCAAGCGUUAAUCGGAAUUACUGGGCGUAAAGCGUGCGCAGGCGGUUAUGUAAGACAGAGGUGAAAUCCACGGGCUCAACCUGGGAACUGCCUUUGUGACUGCAUAGCUAGAGUACGGUAGAGGGGGAUGGAAUUCCGCGUGUAGCAGUGAAAUGCGUAGAUAUGCGGAGGAACACCGAUGGCGAAGGCAAUCCCCUGGACCUGUACUGACGCUCAUGCACGAAAGCGUGGGGAGCAAACAGGAUUAGAUACCCUGGUAGUCCACGCCCUAAAC
Molecule: ribosomal RNA, 800 nt
Filed under: uncultured bacterium
Lineage: Bacteria
Description: bacterial SSU rRNA
Rfam family: Bacterial small subunit ribosomal RNA
Source: RNAcentral